GAUGAACGCUAGCGGCAGGCUUAAUACAUGCAAGUCGAGGGGCAGCACGGUUAGCAAUAACUGGUGGCGACCGGCGCACGGGUGCGUAACACGUAUACAAUCUACCUUAAACAGGGGGAUAGCCUUUCGAAAGAGAGAUUAAUACCCCGUAAUAAAUUGAACGGCAUCGUUUGAUUUUGAAAGCUCCGGCGGUUUGAGAUGAGUAUGCGUCUGAUUAGCUAGUUGGUGAGGUAACGGCUCACCAAGGCGACGAUCAGUAGGGGAUCUGAGAGGACUAACCCCCACACUGGUACUGAGACACGGACCAGACUCCUACGGGAGGCAGCAGUAAGGAAUAUUGGUCAAUGGAGGCAACUCUGAACCAGCCAUGCCGCGUGCAGGAUGACGGCCCUAUGGGUUGUAAACUGCUUUUAUACAAGAGAAAACCCUGGUACGUGUACCAGGUUGAUAGUAUUGUAAGAUAAGCAUCGGCUAACUUCGUGCCAGCAGCCGCGGUAA
This 498-nucleotide ribosomal RNA is filed under the name uncultured bacterium. Its description in RNAcentral is "bacterial SSU rRNA". It matches the Rfam family "Bacterial small subunit ribosomal RNA", at positions 28 to 523 of the family's 1533-position model. The record is from RNAcentral.